Molecule: ribosomal RNA, 634 nt
Filed under: uncultured marine bacterium
Lineage: Bacteria
Description: bacterial SSU rRNA
Rfam family: Bacterial small subunit ribosomal RNA
Source: RNAcentral
AGAGUUUGAUCAUGGCUCAGGACGAACGCUGGCGGCGUGCCUAAUACAUGCAAGUCGAGCGAACCAAUGGGAGCUUGCUCCCUGAGGUUAGCGGCGGACGGGUGAGUAACACGUGGGUAACCUGCCUGUAAGAUUGGGAUAACUCCGGGAAACCGGAGCUAAUACCGGAUAACAUUUCGAACCGCAUGGUUCGAAAUUGAAAGAUGGUUUCGGCUAUCACUUACAGAUGGACCCGCGGCGCAUUAGCUAGUUGGUGAGGUAACGGCUCACCAAGGCGACGAUGCGUAGCCGACCUGAGAGGGUGAUCGGCCACACUGGGACUGAGACACGGCCCAGACUCCUACGGGAGGCAGCAGUAGGGAAUCUUCCGCAAUGGACGAAAGUCUGACGGAGCAACGCCGCGUGAACGAUGAAGGUCUUCGGGUCGUAAAGUUCUGUUGUUAGGGAAGAACAAGUACCAGAGUAACUGCUGGUACCUUGACGGUACCUAACCAGAAAGCCACGGCUAACUACGUGCCAGCAGCCGCGGUAAUACGUAGGUGGCAAGCGUUGUCCGGAAUUAUUGGGCGUAAAGCGCGCGCAGGCGGUUUCUUAAGUCUGAUGUGAAAGCCCACGGCUCAACCGUGGAGGGUCA